Non-coding RNA from Drosophila melanogaster (fruit fly), 976 nucleotides. Lineage: Eukaryota; Metazoa; Arthropoda; Insecta; Diptera; Drosophilidae. The record is from Ensembl.
ACAUUUCAGAUGCUGCAUUCGCAUUUCGCAUCUAUUGCGGCUCCACAGAAGAUUAAUUACACUAGCUGCGGCCAUAAAUAAGGCAGGCAAAUACAAACAGCAUUAUUCGCAUUGCGAGGCAUCCGCAGUAAGUGCAUGUUGUAAAAUUCAAAUUAGAAGCCAUCGUGCAGAUUUGCUGCUGUGUGGCCUUGACUUAAAGAAGAAGAAGAAGAAGCAGCAGAAGCGGCAGACGGAAAAGGGGGCCCCCCAUGUCGAUCUAAGCGAUUUGAGCCUGACCUUAGCCCGAGUUGCUGGGCAGCGCGAUAUGUAAAGCAUGCACCUUGAUACUCGGUGAUAUAUUGACAAUGCAUGAUGCAAGUGAGAGGAAAUGCUGAUGCGAGGCGAGUUGUCAGGAAAGGGAAACGAUCGCAGACGCAUAGAUAGUGCACUAGAUGCGGAUCCCAGAAGUGGGCAACUUUCUCCGCACCGGCACAAUGAUGAACUGUUCAAUUUACUUGAAUCAGCGAUACACUAGAUGAGAUACUCCACCUCCAACAACCGGCGGCUAUAAAUCAGCAACCAGAGCCACCCUAUGAAAUUCGCAUAACAAAGGCUAAUUACGCGACACGUUUGGACUUCAUCAUCAUGGAUGGACGGAUUUGUUUGGGAUCUGCUGGCUAUAUCGUGGUCGUGCAUAAUUUUCGGAUCAAUCAGCUGGCCGAAAGAGCGAGACAACGUCGACUUAUAGCCAUAAAUCUAAUGGUCGCCAGCCGCGUUGGCCAUGCCAUGCAAAUGCGAAAGUGGCCAGAAGAAGACCAGCUGGGCACCCAAAAGUGGUAGCCAAGUUAAUAAUGUUGCUUCGUGCUUUAGUGUGGUGGCCUAACUCUAUUCCCAAUGUCAGUUGAGAAAUUAAAAACUAAUUUGAUGGCAAUCCAAAUUACGCACAUUGAGGCAGGCACACACUUGGCGAAAAAUAACCUAUACACUUUUUAUACCG